Molecule: unclassified non-coding RNA, 339 nt
Filed under: Hevea brasiliensis (rubber tree)
Lineage: Eukaryota; Viridiplantae; Streptophyta; Magnoliopsida; Malpighiales; Euphorbiaceae
Source: RNAcentral
AAUUGCCAGAAUCUGGCAAAAUUACAACACAUGAUGUGGAUGGGGUUCGGAAUAAUAAGAAGUAUCAAAAGGGGUCUAAUGAUUUGUCAAUUGAUAAAUCUAAAAAUGCUCCCACUGAUAUUCAGAAUGUGUCGACACCUGGGAAUCAUGAAGUUAAUGGAACCAGAAGCUCACUUGAGUCUUCUGCCGAUCAAGAAAAGAAAACAUCUAACCAAACGAGUGGCAAGAACAGUUCAGUUUCUGCAAAAGUCAGCGAUGGUACUAGUAGUCUAGCCAAAAAUAGUGGAAGUGGCAAGAUAAGUGAUCAUGCUGAUCUUGUUGAGAGUGGAAAGAGCAGCA